Molecule: long non-coding RNA, 269 nt
Organism: Equus quagga
Lineage: Eukaryota; Metazoa; Chordata; Mammalia; Perissodactyla; Equidae
Exons: 2
Source: RefSeq, a predicted model, not a curated record
GUUGCUGCUGUUCCAGCAGCCUGGGGACCGCGUCUCCUCGCCGUUUAAGGCUCCUCUUGGCUCUGCCGCUUGUCUUGUCGAUUUGUGACCUGACCGAAUUGUCGCACUGAACGCAUGAGUCGUAUGAAGGACGCCGGGGGACCCAGGAGCCCUAGAAAUGGUCAGGAACUGCUUGGAUGUGGAUGUGAGCAGAGAGCAGGAAUAUCGAAAGCUCUACUUCCCUGUGAUUAAUAAUUAAGAUUCCUCAUAAAUAAAUACGCAUGGUUCAU